Lepisosteus oculatus (spotted gar) is the source of this 654-nucleotide non-coding RNA. The record is from RefSeq and is a predicted model, not a curated record. Lineage: Eukaryota; Metazoa; Chordata; Actinopteri; Semionotiformes; Lepisosteidae.
GGACCAUGCAGGAAGAGUGGGGGAGUUCGAUUCAGACAGAGCUGUACUCCAGACCGGUCAGGGAAUAUCUCGGGCAACAGUCUAGCCUCCCAGAAUCUCCUGUUUAAUUCCCUCUCAGUCUGUUCUGGUCUGCAGUGGCUGAGCAGCUGCUGCAGGUCCCCCAGGAGAGCUGCACUGAGGGGGUGAAGAGGGUCCCUCCUGUGGGUGAAGACCCCUGAGCUCCUGUGGGGGGAGAAGCACGUUAUCAGCGCAGCUGUGAGAGUGCUGUCAGUCACAGGCCUUUCCCCUGAGCCCCUGAGCUGGGAGGAUCAUGAGGACCACCUGGACAGUCAAUAGUCUGCUGCUUCACCUGCAUAAGAGGUCACUCUUUACAGUAGUUUCUUUCAUCAUUAAGAGGGAGUUAUGGACAACUCUUUCAGGGGAUUCUUAAAUAUCACAUUCCUUUUUUUUAACAAAUGUUGGUAUUAAAUAGGUUGCUAGGAAAACAAUACAGUGAUCAUUGUAUCACCUGAUACACAUACAGUACUCGGUUUUCAGUAAUAGCUCUGCACCUGCAGUUACGAGUGUUGAACCUUGAAUCUCUGUAUGUCUCCUGUAUUUCAAAGAAUCAGUUCACAGUUCAGCUUUUUUUUUUAUGAAUAAAGGAAAAUGUGA